GGAUCAUAGACUUGCCAACUCUAAAAACUGCAGCCUUAAAUGGAAGAUCCUACCCCAAAACUGUGUCUGCUGAAAGCAAUAUAAAGAAUCUUCACUGCAUUAAGAAGCAUGCUCAGGAUGUGUCUGGCACCUUGUAAAUGAAGUUAGAUGCAGCAUCUUGGGUGGAUAAAGGCUAAGUUUCGGUGGCAUGUUUGUUCUGGGAGUGUUCCAUCAGAUACCGCACCUAUGUCCCCACCCUUCUGUGCUUGGAGCCCAAAUAAACUUAAAGUAGGUCUGUGCAGCAGCUGGCUGUUCUCUGCUGUUAGAUACAAGUGAAAUGGCUACACCUCCAGAUUUGUGCCCCGCUGCCUAUUGUCACCAUUCAGAACCAACUGACCUCUUGAAAACACAAGUGCCAUUUAAUUUACUGUAAAGUUAUGGAAACUUGAGAACCUGAUGUGAUUUCACACCACUGAAAUAGGCAUAGAUGUGUCAACUUUUGUCCUUUGCCUCAGAAAUCCUGUACUUGGUGAACCUGCACUCUUUGUGUAUGCCCUAGAGCCUGCCUUGCAGA
Long non-coding RNA from Oxyura jamaicensis (ruddy duck), 553 nucleotides. RefSeq lists it as uncharacterized. Lineage: Eukaryota; Metazoa; Chordata; Aves; Anseriformes; Anatidae. The record is from RefSeq and is a predicted model, not a curated record. The transcript has 4 exons.